UGGUAAUAAAAAUAAUGACAUUGAAGGUUGUUUCUUCAAAAAAAGAGUAAUGGUUGAAUAUUUAUUAUAAGGGCAUAAAAGUAAAAUAAUGAACCAACUAAAUUUUAUAAAUAGUAAGUAGCCUAUAUAUUGGGACAUCUCAAAAUGGAAAAUCAGCCUAUAACUAUGGGACGGAGGGAGUAAGAAGUAAUGUGUAACUGCCAAAUGUUUACUUUGUAAAGAGUCGCAAGAACACGAGAACGUUGAGGACCUGCAGCAGCCAGAAUUGUGCAUGUCACAGCAGCAGCUAGAGCUUGCUCUAAUGCCUCUUCGUCGAUCACUCUGCCAGAAAACAAUUGUCAAAUAGCAUAGUCUACUUGAAAAACCUUUUUCAUUUAAUUAACAGCAGUAUAAACGUGACUUGAAAUACAAGGAAAAUGGUACAGAAUGAACCAACAUGCAAAUUUAUGCCGCUAGGCUAAUAUUUUUUUAAAAAACCCAGCCUUAUUAAUUACUAAACCCAGUUGAUAAAAAAUUACAGCAAUGAUAGUCACUUUUAUAGAAGAAACUAACAUCAAUCAAAAGUUUGAGUGACCUGAACCCCGGACUUCUCUAAAAUUAAAAGCUUUAUCUAGUUUCAAAAUAUAUGAAGAGAGAUUCCUAAAUAUCCACUUGAAAAAGAGAGAUAAAUAGAUAGGAUAAAAACCCAGCUCAAGGAAGGACUACAAACGAAAAAGAAAAUAGAUGCACUAAUGUCUAACGCAUAACGACUUUCUUUGACAGAGAAAGUUCCGCUGGCCUGAAUAGAAAUAGCACUUAGUAAUAAUGCAGUCAAUCCUUUGUAUAGGUUGGAGCUUUGAAGUUUGCCUUAUUACUAGAGAAAGGUGAAAUGACAUUUUCAACUUGCUCACGAAAAAUUGCCAGCAAAAUAAACUCAUAUAGUCAUAUGGUUCUUUCUAUUCUUAUUUUUUUGUUAUUUAUGGUCUGGCCUUAUCUAACCACAGCCAAACUAACAAAGAGAAGCGGGAAGAUCGGAAAGAAAAUAUUCAUAAAUAAGUCCAUGAUAAUAAUCAACUAAUUUUUCCUAGAAUACAUACUCAUCUUCAAUUUGUCGCUGCCGUUGAGCUCUAAUCGUUAGGGGAACCACAACACAGUCAUGGGAACUACAGAGUGGGACAUUUUAUCAAACACUUCAUGUGCAUUACACACAAACACUUCAUUUCAAAAUACUCAAAACCAUAAAAAUGAAUGGAACUCUAUAAACAUGCAAUCGGCCACAAAAUUAUGAUUAUUAUGAUAUAAGAAAACUAAAAAAGUUCAUUACAAUCUAUUAGAUAUUCUCAAUUGAGGUUUUCGUCUUAGUCCAAUUCCGCAAUUCAUGAAACAUAUAUUCUUAUUUCAGUACAAUUCAUGCGUAUUUUAAAAUUUCCCAUAGACAUGUUCAAACCAUUGCCUUAGUUCGUGGAAUGAAGAACAAAAAACCAAAACAAUUGACGUACCAUUAUUCAGUAGACCGGAGGCAGAUUUGGGUUAGAACAGACAGAGAGUGAGACGCGAUGUGGGGUUUUUGCCUUUGGGUUAGGGCAGACUGCAGAGGGUGAGAUUGGGAAUAUCCACCGAACGAUUUGGUUUGCCUCUGUACCGGAGAACGUAAAUUGGUCUCUGUUUUACAACUCCUUUUCCAAGAGUACACAAC
Molecule: long non-coding RNA, 1675 nt
Filed under: Panax ginseng (ginseng)
Lineage: Eukaryota; Viridiplantae; Streptophyta; Magnoliopsida; Apiales; Araliaceae
Description: long non-coding RNA (PGIN_LNC004655)
Source: RNAcentral